Long non-coding RNA from Mercenaria mercenaria, 650 nucleotides. RefSeq lists it as uncharacterized. Lineage: Eukaryota; Metazoa; Mollusca; Bivalvia; Venerida; Veneridae. The record is from RefSeq and is a predicted model, not a curated record. The transcript has 3 exons.
UAAUGAUAGAUCAAGUUACAAGCUCCCACACUAAUGUAUACAAACAACCCCAGGUGGAAUUUUGGUCAGUUAAGAUUUAUAUAUGCAGGCAAACAUCAGGUCAGAUGCAAAGAAAUAGUUCUUGUCUAUUCUCUUCAUUAAUUGAAAAAAAAGAAGUGUUUAUAAAAAGGAUGUUUUUACAAUAGCUUUUCAACUUAAGGAUUUGACACCUUCUUUAGCUGACCAAGAAAGUGUAUGUGUGGGAUCAAUUUAUCUGUGUAGUAAUACCAAAUUUUGAAAUCUGGCAUUUGAUGAGUCAGCCUGGGAGAAACUGGAAACACAUUGUGAGAGGUACCUUCUGUGAAAAAAGUGCAAUUUUGUGACAUGAUAUGCCUGCCUGACUGUAUAUACCUGAGCAGCAUACAGCUUAUUACUGCAUAAAAGAAACAUAUCAAGAUAAUUUUGAAUCAGAUUGUGUGCUGGAAAAAUGGCCUUACAUCCAAAGGAGUGAAAUUUGGAGAGUCAUUCGCCAUCUACUUAAGCCAUCCUGGAAUAUGAAAAAAUAAGACUGCAUUGACAACAUCCUGAUCCUCGUGUUCAGAUCUUUUGUGAUUUCUUGUGAAGAGUCUUUGAUUUUUCAUAAAAAUAAAAAAUAUAUUAAUAUAAUUUGA